AGAGUUUGAUCAUGGCUCAGAUUGAACGCUGGCGGCAGGCCUAACACAUGCAAGUCGAGCGGUAGCACAGAGAGCUUGCUCUCGGGUGACGAGCGGCGGACGGGUGAGUAAUGUCUGGGAAACUGCCUGAUGGAGGGGGAUAACUACUGGAAACGGUAGCUAAUACCGCAUAACGUCGCAAGACCAAAGUGGGGGACCUUCGGGCCUCAUGCCAUCAGAUGUGCCCAGAUGGGAUUAGCUAGUAGGUGGGGUAACGGCUCACCUAGGCGACGAUCCCUAGCUGGUCUGAGAGGAUGACCAGCCACACUGGAACUGAGACACGGUCCAGACUCCUACGGGAGGCAGCAGUGGGGAAUAUUGCACAAUGGGCGCAAGCCUGAUGCAGCCAUGCCGCGUGUGUGAAGAAGGCCUUCGGGUUGUAAAGCACUUUCAGCGGGGAGGAAGGCGAUAAGGUUAAUAACCUUGUCGAUUGACGUUACCCGCAGAAGAAGCACCGGCUAACUCCGUGCCAGCAGCCGCGGUAAUACGGAGGGUGCAAGCGUUAAUCGGAAUUACUGGGCGUAAAGCGCACGCAGGCGGUCUGUCAAGUCGGAUGUGAAAUCCCCGGGCUCAACCUGGGAACUGCAUUCGAAACUGGCAGGCUAGAGUCUUGUAGAGGGGGGUAGAAUUCCAGGUGUAGCGGUGAAAUGCGUAGAGAUCUGGAGGAAUACCGGUGGCGAAGGCGGCCCCCUGGACAAAGACUGACGCUCAGGUGCGAAAGCGUGGGGAGCAAACAGGAUUAGAUACCCUGGUAGUCCACGCCGUAAACGAUGUCGAUUUGGAGGUUGUGCCCUUGAGGCGUGGCUUCCGGAGCUAACGCGUUAAAUCGACCGCCUGGGGAGUACGGCCGCAAGGUUAAAACUCAAAUGAAUUGACGGGGGCCCGCACAAGCGGUGGAGCAUGUGGUUUAAUUCGAUGCAACGCGAAGAACCUUACCUGGUCUUGACAUCCACAGAACUUAGCAGAGAUGCUUUGGUGCCUUCGGGAACUGUGAGACAGGUGCUGCAUGGCUGUCGUCAGCUCGUGUUGUGAAAUGUUGGGUUAAGUCCCGCAACGAGCGCAACCCUUAUCCUUUGUUGCCAGCGGUUAGGCCGGGAACUCAAAGGAGACUGCCAGUGAUAAACUGGAGGAAGGUGGGGAUGACGUCAAGUCAUCAUGGCCCUUACGACCAGGGCUACACACGUGCUACAAUGGCAUAUACAAAGAGAAGCGACCUCGCGAGAGCAAGCGGACCUCAUAAAGUAUGUCGUAGUCCGGAUUGGAGUCUGCAACUCGACUCCAUGAAGUCGGAAUCGCUAGUAAUCGUAGAUCAGAAUGCUACGGUGAAUACGUUCCCGGGCCUUGUACACACCGCCCGUCACACCAUGGGAGUGGGUUGCAAAAGAAGUAGGUAGCUUAACCUUCGGGAGGGCGCUUACCACUUUGUGAUUCAUGACUGGGGUGAAGUCGUAACAAGGUAACCGUAGGGGAACCUGCGGUUGGAUCACCU
This 1528-nucleotide ribosomal RNA is filed under the name Klebsiella pneumoniae. RNAcentral describes it as "bacterial SSU rRNA". It matches the Rfam family "Bacterial small subunit ribosomal RNA". RNAcentral also lists the same sequence under 8 other names. Lineage: Bacteria; Pseudomonadati; Pseudomonadota; Gammaproteobacteria; Enterobacterales; Enterobacteriaceae. The record is from RNAcentral.